This 387-nucleotide ribosomal RNA is filed under the name uncultured bacterium. Its description in RNAcentral is "bacterial SSU rRNA". It matches the Rfam family "Bacterial small subunit ribosomal RNA", at positions 28 to 417 of the family's 1533-position model. The record is from RNAcentral.
GACGAACGCUGGCGGCGUGCUUAACACAUGCAAGUCGAGCGGUAAGGCCCUUUCGGGGGUACACGAGCGGCGAACGGGUGAGUAACACGUGGGUGACCUGCCCUUAGCUCUGGGAUGAGCCUGGGAAACUGGGUCUAAUACCGGAUAUGACUCCAUAACGCAUGUUGUGGGGUGGAAAGCCUUGUGCGGCUAGGGAUGGGCCCGCGGCCUAUCAACUUGUUGGUGGGGUGAUGGCCUACCAAGGCGACGACGGGUAGCCGGCCUGAGAGGGCGACCGGCCACACUGGGACUGAGACACGGCCCAGACUCCUACGGGAGGCAGCAGUGGGGAAUCUUGCGCAAUGGGCGAAAGCCUGACGCAGCGACGCCGCGUGGGGAUGACGGCCU